Molecule: long non-coding RNA, 863 nt
Organism: Daktulosphaira vitifoliae (grape phylloxera)
Lineage: Eukaryota; Metazoa; Arthropoda; Insecta; Hemiptera; Phylloxeridae
Exons: 6
Source: RefSeq, a predicted model, not a curated record
UUUUAUUUUUGUUAUAAAUCGGGGUAAUCAAAAACAAAAUUUAUUGAAAAAUUGUGUAUGAAUGACAAUUUUUUUGUUGAUUAUUUUCGUGUAAUAAUGAAGAGUAUCUUUUUUCUUAAAGUCCUCUAUACUAUAUGUUUUUAAUGUCAGGAAAAAAUUGUGAGUACAUUAUAUUGCACCGUUGGUAAAAAGGCAAACACAAUUUGAAGUGGAAAAGCCAGGAAAACGUGUCCGUAUACAAAUAACAGAUUACAUUAUUUGAUGCUAACAUUGCCAGUGUGGUUACGAAUAAUUGAAGUUCUUUGUUUGCAUUAUUACACUCCGAUGCAAAUCUAAGAAAGUAUUACAAGAUUGUGAACUUUAAAUUUCCAAGUGGCAACACACAUAACAAGCUUGUUAAUUAACAAGCUUAUUCAAUAGAAUGAUCUAGUUAAGAAAAUUACUGGCCGAUUACUACUUUUAGACCAGUAUUUUGUAAGAUGUUCUCAUUUCUAUAACUAGGUGGGAUGAAAAGUACGGUUGGUAAAUGACUAGCGAUAAAACAAGCAACACCCACUCUUCACCUUCAUUCAAUACUUUAAAUUGUUAAAAACUACUGGAAUAGUAGUCUAAAAAAAAAAUUUUAGCAUCUUUUAAUGUCAAUCCAAUAAGUACGUAUUGUAUGUUAUUGGGAAAGAAAAAAAAAUCCUAUCUACUAAUGGCUUAUGAUUAUUUACAGUUUCAAUUGCAUGACUGGAAUAACAAUUAAAAUAAUGAAGGUUAGAAUAAUUAAAUAAAGAAAGUUACCUUACUUUUCUUUUUGAUAAAUCGAUACUUACAAUUUUGAUACACUUUUAUGAUAGAGAUUACGAAUUAUAUAACUA